CGGGAUGUAGCGCAGUUUGGUAGCGCACUUCGUUCGGGACGAAGGGGUCGCAGGUUCGAAUCCUGUCAUCCCGA
RNAcentral lists this transfer RNA (74 nucleotides) under Pleurocapsales cyanobacterium LEGE 06147. It matches the Rfam family "tRNA". Rfam says of the family: Transfer RNA (tRNA) molecules are approximately 80 nucleotides in length. Lineage: Bacteria; Bacillati; Cyanobacteriota; Cyanophyceae; Pleurocapsales. The record is from Rfam by way of RNAcentral.